AGAACGAACGCUGGCGGCAUGCCUAAUACAUGCAAGUCGAACGAACUCUUCGGAGUUAGUGGCGCACGGGUGCGUAACGCGUGGGAAUCUGCCCCUUGGUUCGGAAUAACAGUUGGAAACGACUGCUAAUACCGGAUGAUGACGAAAGUCCAAAGAUUUAUCGCCAAGGGAUGAGCCCGCGUAGGAUUAGCUAGUUGGUGAGGUAAAGGCUCACCAAGGCAACGAUCCUUAGCUGGUCUGAGAGGAUGAUCAGCCACACGUGGGACUGAGACACGGCCCAGACCUCCGUACGGGAGCAGCAGUAGGGAAUAGUGGACAAGUGGGACGAAAGCCUGACUCCAGACAAUGCCGACGUGAGUGAUGGAAGGUCCUUAGGGUUAGUAAAGCUUACCUUUACCCGAG
This 402-nucleotide ribosomal RNA is filed under the name uncultured soil bacterium. RNAcentral's name for it is "bacterial SSU rRNA". It matches the Rfam family "Bacterial small subunit ribosomal RNA", at positions 26 to 446 of the family's 1533-position model. The record is from RNAcentral.